UGUAAGCGUAUACCAAAGUUGUUGCAGUUAAAACGCUCGUAGUCGGAAUUUGGCAGUUCCGGAUGUGUGCACGUCGUGUGCGCACUUCGCGGGGAUUGCUUUUGUGGUCUUGCGUAGGAUGAGGCACUUUUAUUAGUGAACGUCCUCACGCAACCACUUUUUACUGUGAGAAAAUCAGAGUGCUCAAAGCAGGCAUUUGCCGUGAAUGUAUUAGCAUGGAAUAAUAGAAUAGGACUCGGUUCUAUUUUGUUGGUUUGUUGGGGCUGAGUAAUGAUUAAGAGGGACAGUUGGGGGCAUUUGUAUUUCGGCGCUAGAGGUGAAAUUCUUAGAUUGCCGAAAGACAAGCUGCUGCGAAAGCGUCUGCCAAGGAUGUUUUCAUUGA
This 382-nucleotide ribosomal RNA is filed under the name uncultured eukaryote. RNAcentral's name for it is "partial 18S ribosomal RNA". It matches the Rfam family "Eukaryotic small subunit ribosomal RNA", at positions 592 to 976 of the family's 1831-position model. The record is from RNAcentral.